Molecule: ribosomal RNA, 465 nt
Filed under: uncultured bacterium
Lineage: Bacteria
Description: partial 16S ribosomal RNA
Rfam family: Bacterial small subunit ribosomal RNA
Source: RNAcentral
GACGAACGCUGGCGGCAGGCUUAACACAUGCAAGUCGAACGGAAAGGCCCUGCUUGCUGGGUACUCGAGUGGCGAACGGGUGAGUAACAGGUGGGUGAUCUGCCCUGCACUUCGGGAUAAGGCUGGGCAACUGGGUCUAUACCCGGAUAGGGCCCACUUUUAGUGUGUUGGUUGGAAGGUUUUUUGGGUGUAGGGUGAGCUCGCGGCCUAUCAGCUUGUUGGUGCGGUAAUGGCCUACCAAGGCGGCGACGGGUAGCCGGCCAGCGAGGGUGGACGGCUACACUGGGACCGAGAGACGGCCCAGACUCCGACGGGAGGCAGCAGUGGGGAAGAUUGCACAAUGGGCGCAAGCCUGAUGCAGCGACGCCGCGUGUGGGAUGACGGCCUUCGGGUUGUAAACUCCUUUCGCUAGGGACGAAGCUUUUUGUGACGGUACCUAGAUAAGAAGCACCGGCUAACUACGUG